This is an RNA transcript of Cryptotermes secundus, 3442 nucleotides long. It is a transcript of the gene named AN1-type zinc finger protein 6, with no coding region annotated. The record is from RefSeq and is a predicted model, not a curated record. The transcript has 6 exons. Lineage: Eukaryota; Metazoa; Arthropoda; Insecta; Blattodea; Kalotermitidae.
AAUUCAGAAGUCGAAUCACAUGACGGUCGUGUCUGUUUUGUAGAGGAAUGCCUUGUCAUCAGUGCUUUGAAGGGAAUAUAUUGUCACGCAAAAAGAGUUCAUGAUGACCCUGGAAAUAAUACUUUGAAGCUGUAUGGUUAUGGAUGUUGUGCUUCCACCACGGACAGCUCGUGAAGUCACAUCAGCUCGUCUUUGUUCCAUCUGAACUUUACUUCAGUCGUUUUUUCCGCAGCAAUCAUAUACUUCUCCAGGGCAUGGUGACCCAGUCCUGACGGGGUAUUGACUAGGUGUCUGCAAUUACUUGUGUGUGUGCGUAAUUGACCCCGUCGCUGUCUGGAGGAAACAGAGGUUAGGAUGGAACGUGAGUCAAACCCGAUGCAGGCAAUGUGCCGUUCGGGCUGUGGAUUCUAUGGCUCACCGGCGACAGAUGGACUGUGUUCAUUAUGUUAUAAGGAGGCAUUAAAGAAGAAACAGCAGCCACCCAACACAACACCUAGCAGCACAGGCAGCGGCGGUGGUUCAGCUACAAACUUUGGAUCCACCACUGGUCCCAGUUCUGUUCCAGUGGCACCGAGUAGUAUUGAUACUGCUCAGCCUACCAUACCAAUCAUAGUGCCGCCUGUUACAACUACAGACCUUAUGAAAGACAAUGCAGAUGGUGAGGGUGCUGUUGGAGGAGGGGGAGGUGGAGGAGGAGGCAGCAGUGCUGAAAGUUCUGUGAGCAGUGGAGAUGUUGAUGAUAGUUUUGAUGGGAAAGACUCUGAUAAAGAAGGGAAGAAAAAGAAGAACCGCUGUGCAGUUUGCCGGAAGAAGGUUGGCUUAACAGGAUUUGAGUGUCGAUGUGGUGGCUUGUUCUGUGCAGUUCAUCGAUACAGUGACAAACACAAUUGCACUUUUGACUACCGAGAGAUGGGAGCCCAGGAAAUUCGUCGCAACAAUCCAGUUGUAGUGGGCGAGAAGAUCCAAAAAAUUUGAACCUGUUGUGCCUAGUAAUAGAAGUGAUUAGGGAUCAAAUAGCUUUUGGGGUUACUUGUCAAGGUAAAUGUUUGUUCUAAAUUCCACCAGCAGUACUCUGCAAAAGGAGUAACAGUAUAAGAAAAGAUACUCCGGUUGUGCCAUUUUAUGAUGAAACAUCAAGAAGGACCACUUCCUACAAGACUUGCGGCCAGUGAUGACAUGUCAUAGUUGCCAAUAUUUUUUUGAUGGACAAAAAUUAAGAAUGGCACCCAGUAAGGAACUACAGUGGUGGACAUAGUUGAGCUCAAGACUUUUAAAAUCUGUGUAAGAAGAAAAUGGCUUUUUUUCCCCUUUUGUUUUGCUUUGUUAUAAUCUAGUUUAUAUCAGAUAUGAAAAUAAGUAUGACACAUUUAAGAAUAAAGCAGAGCUUUUCGUUUAGAACAACUAAUGAAGCAAGACUGUAAACAGAUUGUGUUGAGCCAGUGGACACUACUACGUCAUAGUGCUGGCUGUGUGUGUGCACCCCUUAGACCCUUAUCCACAGGAAGAAAGUGACUUUAUAUGUGGCACGACAUCGUCAGAACUGUGACUUGGUUCUCCCGUUUUAGGAAGCUGUCUUCACGUAGUCGUGUGUGCUGUUGGUUUGACCAUGCUCUUCUUUUGAGCUUGAAUAUUGGAAGCACAUACAAUGUGCAUAGGUUUGGUCAUAGGACACCUAGAAUCAUCAUAGAUGACUUCCAUGAACAAGUACACAAGUAUGUAAAAACAGAAGUUCCAACCCUCGACUGUUUUUGUCAGAUAGUUCUGUGUACCAAUAUAAUCUUCCGAGGUGAAAUUUGUAUAAUGGAAUGACUUCUGCGCGUGAAGAAAGGCAGUGACUUUCCUACAGGCAGAGAUUAUGCUUAUGAACAGAACUAGGUCAUUUAUGUGUGAAAGGGUUACAAGAAAUAUUUGCUUGGGUUUGUGCCAUUAAAUUUUUUUCCAAGAAGUGAAGUUAUGUAACUAAUAAUAAUAACAACUGUAAAGGAAAAUGUUCUCAUUUAACCAUAAUUCUGAGUUUUUAAUUCAUACGGUUUUACAUGGAAAGUGGGAAUUUCAUGUUCCAGUGCAGUGUUGGUCAUAUUUUCAUCUUCCCUUGUCUCUUGAUGACUGUAUUGAGCUGUAAACUCUAAUUCUCUCUUUGAAGCAGUACUUCUAUAGUCCUUAACAUGAUUCACUUUAAUUCUUCAUUCAUAAGAAUAGUUUAAUUUGGAAAGGGGUAUUUACUGUGAAGUGCAGUUUUGUCAGAUGAGUCUACAUUUACAAGCACAAAUUAAAUUUGUAAACGAAGAUCAUUUAUACAUGAAGAUAAUACAAGAUACACAGCGUGGCUUUUUAGCCACUACAGACAAUAUAUGAGGGAACAUAACACUGAGCAAAACUAAAAAGUAAAAUGUGCAUGUGUGAUAAUGGGGGAUAACCAAAGUGGUAAUUUAAAAAUUAUACACUUACAGUAUACUCCCAAUUGUCUGUGCUAAUGAAGGAGAAAAGAUGUAUUAAUAAUAAAAUGCAGAUAAUACAGUUUCAGGUAUGGCUGGGAGACUUUGGUGGCUGCUGAAUAUAGAAGUUCAGAAAUGUAGCACAGCAUCAAAUAUAAUUAUCUCAGAAACUAACAGACAACGGAAAAAGCAUACUGAAUAUAAGAGUGUGAUUUUUUCCUCUAUGUUUGUCAGAAACAUUUUUCACUGUGAUAAAUAUGUAACGAAUUGCACUUGAAAUAUAUGCAGAACUCAUGCGGGUCAUCACAUAGAGUGAUUGCUAAAAUUGUCCCCCUGUCUACAAGAAAACUGAAAUAAAAUUGUCCCCCUGUCUACAAGAAAACUGAAAUGGUUUGAUAGUUUUUGUAAAAUUCCUAUCAGAUUUCAUGAAGCUGUGACUAGUCAUUCUUGAGUUUUAUAUGAGGACAGAUGGACGGACUGAUCAAGAGGCUGUCCACAGAGAUGGGAAUUCUUCUGUAAAGGAACGCUGAAAGGUCACAAACCAGAUAAAUUGUACACGGAUAAUCAAGAGUACAUUGUACUUGGAUUAAACUGUGGGGGGGUCUCAUGUAUAGAUACACACAUGAUCUACUUCAAUCUGCCUUGCCUAAAAGUAAAAAUAUUUCUUUUUCUUGACAACACAGUUGCUUGGGUGUAUGUGCUUUAAAUAUGUGGGAGGGAAUUCUUUCUUACCAUUUAUUCAUAUGUUUGAAAUUAGUGCUGAUCCCCUUCUUAAUCUUUGAAAUAAAAGAGAAAGACUCCCCUCUCCUAGUUAUAUAAAUUUUGUGGAAACCAUUAGUUGUGCAAAUCGUUACUCAGUGUACAUUUUUAUUUACGCAUUCUAUUUCACGUUACAUGUAAGUCUCGUCUCAGAGCAGUGUUUAACACGCAUAUUGUUCUGAAAACAUUGUAUGUGAGGUAUUAAUAAAAACCUUUCAUUUCAAUAAAGUCUUUGCCUUGUUUAAGAA